AAGACAGAGGGUGCAAACGUUGUUCGGAAUUACUGGGCGUAAAGCGCGUGUAGGCGGCAGGGCAAGUCGGAUGUGAAAGCCCACGGCUCAACCGUGGAAGUGCACCCGAUAUUGCUCAGCUAGAGUCUCGGAGAGGAAGGUGGAAUGCUUGGUGUAGAGGUGAAAUUCGUAGAUAUCAAGCAGAACACCGGUGGCGAAGGCGGCCUUCUGGACGAUGACUGACGCUGAGACGCGAAAGCGUGGGGAGCAAACAG
This 254-nucleotide ribosomal RNA is filed under the name uncultured prokaryote. RNAcentral's name for it is "partial 16S ribosomal RNA". It matches the Rfam family "Bacterial small subunit ribosomal RNA", at positions 522 to 775 of the family's 1533-position model. The record is from RNAcentral.